UUCUCAUUGCAAUGCUAAUGUUAUUGAUCUUCUCUUUUGGGUGUUCAACAAAGAACAGAACUAGAAAGGUAACUGGACUAAGAAGACAGCCAGCAUUAUGUCCCUGACCCUUCAAGGUCUACAAAUAACUCUGGACAUGAAGAAUCUUUUCUAUAAGAUCCUACAACUUUGGAAUCAGCUGAAAAAAUGUUUACGUCAAUGUGAAGACUUUCGUCUGAACGUCUGUGGUGGAUGCAGAGAAAGAGCACAUCAGAAAGGAUCUACAAACCACUUGGAAUCAGACUUUGCUGCAAUGUGUGACAGCGUCACCCUCGUCAAAAGUCAAGGAACUCUAUACAUUGUUUGUCGUGUGCUUUCCAUCUUGUUUUACCAGCUCUUAUUUGUCUAUUAUAACAUUUUUAUGUCACAAGAGUUUAUGUGAUGUGGGGGGAGGUUUCUAAUGGGUAGAAAGCAGGGACCCUACUAUGGGGAGGUAAGAAAUCAGAUGUGCCUUGUACAGGUGCCAAGUGCCACAGUGAAUGUGAGCCUUAUGCGUCAUAAAUACAAACUAACUUAAUAACCACAAGAAUGAAAGUGGGGAAAGGGGAUUAGAGAUGGAGGGAGCGAGAUGGGUGGGCAGAGGAUGGGAUUUAUACAACAACAAGCUGUGUUAUGCACUUGUACCUCUUCUGCAACAUGAAUGCAAACGUCAUGUACUACAAACAUUUAAAAAGACAACAGCAGCAACAACUCACAUCGCACAAGGCAGCCUCAUGAGCAGCCAGAGCCCCAGAGGUCAGCAGUGCUGAGAUUGGGACUCCUGGUCAGUUGCCACCCUGCACUCCCCACCAGGCUACACGCUCUGUCACGGCCUUCAGUCCUACCCCGCUCCAACCUGGGGCUCUGUCCGAGCCUGCCAUGGCUUUUCUUUUGCCUUUGUUUUUCCAUGUAAAUUUUGGAGCCAUCUUGUCAAUUUAUAAAAAACAUUUGUACUGGGACUUCCGAUGGGAUUGUAUAUUAUCUAUACAUUGAUUUGGGGGAAAAAACAAUAACAUUCUAAAAACAAAUCUUUUAAUUCAUGAAC
Molecule: long non-coding RNA, 1063 nt
Filed under: Fukomys damarensis (Damara mole-rat)
Lineage: Eukaryota; Metazoa; Chordata; Mammalia; Rodentia; Bathyergidae
Description: lncRNA (ENSFDAG00000032272.1)
Source: RNAcentral